CCUACGGUGUGCUGCAGUGGGGAAUAUUGGGCAAUGGGCGCAAGCCUGACCCAGCAACGCCGCGUGAAGGAAGAAGGCUUUCGGGUUGUAAACUUCUUUUCUGCGGGACGAAGAAAGUGACGGUACCUCAGGUAUAAGCCACGGCGAACUACGUGCAAGCAGCCGCGGUAAUACGUAGGUGGCAAGCGUUAUCCGGAUUUAUUGGGGGUAAAGGGCGUGUAGGCGGGAAAGCACGUUAGAUGUGAAAACUCAGGGCUCAACCCUUAGCCUGCAUUUGAAACUGUUUUUCUUGAGUGCUGGAGAGGCAAUCGGAAUUCCGUGUGUAGCGGUGAAAUGCGUAGAUAUACGGAGGAACACCAGUGGCGAAGGCGGAUUGCUGGACAGUAACUGACGCUGAGGCGCGAAAGCGUGGGGAGCAAACAGGAUUAGAUACCCCUGUAGUC
This 443-nucleotide ribosomal RNA is filed under the name uncultured bacterium. Its description in RNAcentral is "partial 16S ribosomal RNA". It matches the Rfam family "Bacterial small subunit ribosomal RNA", at positions 338 to 795 of the family's 1533-position model. The record is from RNAcentral.